GGCCAGGUGGGGGGGUGCUAGCCCGAUCGACGGGACCAGAAAGCUCCAGAUCGUACUCUGGAGGAACUCCAUACUGAACCCUUAUCAAUAGAAGUUCAUCCAGAGUCAGAGAACAGGGAAUGGCACCCGGUGCAAAAAUUGGGCGAGGCCCAGCCCUAGAUGUGGGUUCAUCUACAGUGUGGGGGUUCUGGGGGCCUGAGACGGACGAACUCCUGGAACCACUAGAGGCAGAGGUACCGGAAGAUAUUUCAAACAAAGGCCCUAAAAAGUUUGGAGAAAUCAGGUAGGACAAGAGGCAAAAGGUUUGUGGGGGACCAAACCAGAGGAAUGCGGUAGAAGAAAAAUGGAGGAGAAAGGGCACCUAGAUGGCAAGAAGAGAAAUGAAAGUUCCGGGACUAACCUAG
This 404-nucleotide long non-coding RNA is filed under the name Elaeis guineensis (African oil palm). RNAcentral describes it as "long non-coding RNA (EGUI_LNC050060)". Lineage: Eukaryota; Viridiplantae; Streptophyta; Magnoliopsida; Arecales; Arecaceae. The record is from RNAcentral.